UACGUAGGGCGCGAGCGUUGUCCGGAAUUACUGGGCGUAAAGGGCUUGUAGGUGGUUUGUCACGUUGUUCGUGAAAACCGGAGGCUUAACCUUCGGCGUGCGGGCGAUACGGGCAGACUGGAGUACUGCAGGGGAGACUGGAAUUCCUGGUGUAGCGGUGGAAUGCGCAGAUAUCAGGAGGAACACCGGUGGCGAAGGCGGGUCUCUGGGCAGUAACUGACGCUGAGGAGCGAAAGCGUGGGGAGCGAACAGG
RNAcentral lists this ribosomal RNA (253 nucleotides) under uncultured bacterium. RNAcentral's name for it is "partial 16S ribosomal RNA". It matches the Rfam family "Bacterial small subunit ribosomal RNA", at positions 524 to 776 of the family's 1533-position model. The record is from RNAcentral.